UCCUGAAUAAUUCAUGGUAUGUCUCUGAAAAUAGAAAUAAAGACAACCAAAAGGAGGAGAUCUAGAAUUUAUUCGAAUCAAAGAGCGAACAAGUACCUCAAAAAUCUAAUAAUCGCCGUCUGAACUCAACUACCAUAACUAGUACUCGAGCUAAGAUUUGCACUGAAAGAUAUAGUAGGGAUGAGUACGGUCCACUUGUACUCCGCUGGUAUCAUACACCAGCUGAGUAAAGUAGGAAA
RNAcentral lists this long non-coding RNA (239 nucleotides) under Capsicum annuum. RNAcentral describes it as "long non-coding RNA (CANN_LNC003033)". Lineage: Eukaryota; Viridiplantae; Streptophyta; Magnoliopsida; Solanales; Solanaceae. The record is from RNAcentral.